CCUACGGGUGGCAGCAGUGAGGAAUAUUGGUCAAUGGACGCAAGCCUGAACCAGCCAUGCCGCGUGCAGGAAGACGGCCCUAUGGGUUGUACACUGCUUUUGUACGGGGGUAAAGGCAGACACGUGUGCCUUUCUGUAUGUACCUUAUGAAUAAGGAUCGGCUAACUCCGUGCCAGCAGCCGCGGUAAUACGGAGGAUUCGAGCGUUAUCCGGAUUUAUUGGGUUUAAAGGGUGCGUAGUUGGUCGGUUAAGUCAGUUGUGAAAUCCCGAGGCUCAACUUCGGAAUUGCCAUUGAUACUGUCAGGCUAGAGAGUAGUUGCGGUAGGCGGAAUGUGUGGUGUAGCGGUGAAAUGCUUAGAGAUCAUGCAGAACACCGAUUGCGAAGGCAGCUUACUAAGCUACUACUGACGUUGAGGCACGAAAGCGUGGGGAGCAAACAGGAUUAGAUACCCCUGUAGUC
RNAcentral lists this ribosomal RNA (460 nucleotides) under uncultured bacterium. Its description in RNAcentral is "partial 16S ribosomal RNA". It matches the Rfam family "Bacterial small subunit ribosomal RNA", at positions 338 to 795 of the family's 1533-position model. The record is from RNAcentral.